AAGGGUGUGCUCAUAAGGUGAAA
Molecule: non-coding RNA, 23 nt
Filed under: Gossypium hirsutum (cotton)
Lineage: Eukaryota; Viridiplantae; Streptophyta; Magnoliopsida; Malvales; Malvaceae
Source: RNAcentral